AACCUGGUUGAUCCUGCCAGUAGUCAUAUGCUUGUCUCAAAGACUAAGCCAUGCAUGUCUAAGUAUAAGUAUUAUACAGCGAAACUGCGAAUGGCUCAUUAAAACAGUUAUAAUUUAUUUGAUAAUCGAAUUUACAUGGAUAACCGUGGUAAUUCUAGAGCUAAUACAUGCUGGUAGGCCCGACUUUUUGGAAGGGCGGUAUUUAUUAGAUAACAAACCAAUAUUCCUCUGGUCUAUUGUGGUGAAUCAUAAUAACUGAUCGAAUCGCAAGGUUUUUAACCGCGAUAAGUCAUUCAAGUUUCUGCCCCAUCAGCUUUCGAUGGUAGUGUAUUGGACUACCAUGGCUUUUACGGGUAACGGAGGAUUAGGGUUCGAUUCCGGAGAGGGAGCCUGAGAAACGGCUACCACAUCUAAGGAAGGCAGCAGGCGCGUAAAUUACCCAAUCCUGACUCAGGGAGGUAGUGACAAGAAAUAACGGACCGAGGCCUUCGGGCUUCGGGAUUGCAAUGAGCCGAAUUUACACCCCUUAGCGAAGAUCGAUUGGAGGGCAAGUCUGGUGCCAGCAGC
This 567-nucleotide ribosomal RNA is filed under the name uncultured marine eukaryote. RNAcentral's name for it is "SSU rRNA". It matches the Rfam family "Eukaryotic small subunit ribosomal RNA", at positions 1 to 574 of the family's 1831-position model. The record is from RNAcentral.